GACGAACGCUGGCGGCGUGCUUAACACAUGCAAGUCGAACGGAGUGGCGAACGGGUGAGUAACACGUGGGUGACCUGCCCUGCACUUCGGGCUAAGCCUGGGAAACUGGGUCUAAUACCGGAUAGUGUGGGAUGGGCCCGCGGCCUAUCAGCUUGUUGGUGGGGUAAUGGCCUACCAAGGCGGCGACGGGUAGCCGGCCUGAGAGGGUGGACGGCAACAUGGGGGCUGGGACACGAGCCAGACUCCGACGGGAGGCAGCAGUGGGGAAUAUUGCACAAUGGGAGGAAGCCUGAUGAAGCGACGCGGCGUGGGGGAUGACGGCAUUCGGGUUGUAAACUCCUUUCACCAGCGACGCGGUAGAUGGAGAAGAAGCACCGGCUAACUACGUGCCAGCCGCCGCGGUAAUAC
RNAcentral lists this ribosomal RNA (408 nucleotides) under uncultured bacterium. RNAcentral describes it as "partial 16S ribosomal RNA". It matches the Rfam family "Bacterial small subunit ribosomal RNA", at positions 28 to 526 of the family's 1533-position model. The record is from RNAcentral.